GAACAAGCUAGUAGUGAUGUAUUUCAUUCUAAUGGAAGGGCAACCUUACAUGCAGCUACCAAAGGUAACUUUCAUCCUACCAUUCAAAACUUUAUUGAUCAAUACCCUCAAAUAUUUUGCUGAACCAACUUCCUUGCCACCCUCUGGAAGUCAUAAUCACAGUAUCCCUCUACAACCUGAUGCUAAACCUAUAAAUGUCAGACCUUAUAGCUAUCCCAUUGUUAAAAAAGAGAGAUUGAGAAGUUGGUGACUGAGAUGCUGGAUUCCAUAGUUAUCCAACCUAGUUCUAGCUCAUUUUCUUCCCCUGUUUUACUUGUUAGGAAGAACGAUGG
This 332-nucleotide unclassified non-coding RNA is filed under the name Hevea brasiliensis (rubber tree). Lineage: Eukaryota; Viridiplantae; Streptophyta; Magnoliopsida; Malpighiales; Euphorbiaceae. The record is from RNAcentral.